AACGAACGCUGGCGGCAUGCCUAACACAUGCAAGUCGAACGAGACCUUCGGGUCUAGUGGCGCACGGGUGCGUAACGCGUGGGAAUCUGCCCUUGGGUUCGGAAUAACAGUUAGAAAUGACUGCUAAUACCGGAUAAUGUCUUCGGACCAAAGAUUUAUCGCCCAGGGAUGAGCCCGCGUAGGAUUAGCUAGUUGGUGAGGUAAAGGCUCACCAAGGCGACGAUCCUUAGCUGGUCUGAGAGGAUGAUCAGCCACACUGGGACUGAGACACGGCCCAGACUCCUACGGGAGGCAGCAGUGGGGAAUAUUGGACAAUGGGCGAAAGCCUGAUCCAGCAAUGCCGCGUGAGUGAUGAAGGCCUUAGGGUUGUAAAGUCCUUUCGGCGGGGACGAUGAUGACGGUACCCGCAGAAGAAGCCCCGGCUAACUUCGUGCCAGCAGCCGCGGU
Molecule: ribosomal RNA, 447 nt
Filed under: uncultured bacterium
Lineage: Bacteria
Description: bacterial SSU rRNA
Rfam family: Bacterial small subunit ribosomal RNA
Source: RNAcentral